GACGAACGCUGGCGGCGUGCUUAACACAUGCAAGUCGAACGGAAAGGCCCUGCUUUGUGGGUGCUCGAGUGGCGAACGGGUGAGUAACACGUGAGUAACCUGCCCUUGACUUUGGGAUAACUUCAGGAAACUGGGGCUAAUACCGGAUAGGAGCUCCUGCUGCAUGGUGGGGGUUGGAAAGUUUCGGCGGUUGGGGAUGGACUCGCGGCUUAUCAGCUUGUUGGUGGGGUAGUGGCUUAUCAAGGCUUUGACGGGUAGCCGGCCUGAGAGGGUGACCGGCCACAUUGGGACUGAGAUACGGCCCAGACUCCUACGGGAGGCAGCAGUGGGGAAUAUUGCACAAUGGGCGGAAGCCUGAUGCAGCAACGCCGCGUGCGGGAUGACGGCCUCGGUGUAACGACUUCGUCCUCGUGACGAAGACGUGAGUGACGGUAAUGGG
This 439-nucleotide ribosomal RNA is filed under the name uncultured bacterium. RNAcentral describes it as "bacterial SSU rRNA". It matches the Rfam family "Bacterial small subunit ribosomal RNA", at positions 28 to 482 of the family's 1533-position model. The record is from RNAcentral.